Molecule: ribosomal RNA, 292 nt
Filed under: uncultured bacterium
Lineage: Bacteria
Description: partial 16S ribosomal RNA
Rfam family: Bacterial small subunit ribosomal RNA
Source: RNAcentral
GUUACAGCAGCCGCGGUAAUACGUAGGUGGCGAGCGUUGUCCGGAAUUACUGGGUGUAAAGGGCGUGUAGGCGGGACUGUAAGUCAGAUGUGAAAUUCCAAGGCUUAACCUUGGCGCUGCAUCUGAAACUAUGGUUCUUGAGUGCUGGAGAGGAAAGCGGAAUUCCUAGUGUAGCGGUGAAAUGCGUAGAUAUUAGGAGGAACACCAGUGGCGAAGGCGGCUUUCUGGACAGUAACUGACGCUGAGGCGCGGAAGCGUGGGGAGCAAACAGGAUUAGAAACCCGUGUAGUCC